Lemur catta (Ring-tailed lemur) is the source of this 4095-nucleotide RNA transcript. It is a transcript of the gene named coiled-coil domain containing 150, with no coding region annotated. The record is from RefSeq and is a predicted model, not a curated record. NCBI's taxonomy places the organism in Eukaryota, Metazoa, Chordata, Mammalia, Primates, Lemuridae. The transcript is spliced from 31 exons.
GUCCCGCCCGGGACCGAGGGCCCUCCUGGGCCGGGAAAACUGCAAUUCCCGGCAUGCCCUGCCACGGCUGCGCCUGCGUACGGAAGAUAUCGCGCCGCGGAGCGGGUUGUUUUAAAGCGCUGUCUUAGUUCCAUGGAAACUGGACCGCCUGCAGCCGGACAGAGCCACCGGUUGACAGAUGGACUGUGGGGUGCAUAUAGAAACUGCAAUGUCCAGACCAAUCCUUUCUCCAACCCACAUCAAUGCCACAGCUUCUGAAACAUUCACAGUACUCCAGCAAAGGAUGAGAAUAGUUGAGGAACAGACCAGUUCUCUGAGGAAUGACCUAAUCAUGUUGGACUUCAGUGAAAAAAGAGGCCAAUUGGAAGCUCCAAACUGUUUAGAAGACCCUGCCAGCCAGACAAUCAUUAGUCCUAUCCAGAAUGAAGUAAUUUGUUCAGGAAAAACAGAUAUUUUAUGGAAGAAUUGUGAGUUUCUGGUAAAUCGAAUGUGCCGUCUGGAAAGCCUCAUCCAGUCCUUGAAGAUGAACAUCUUUCGCCUGCAAACCGAAAAGGAUUUGAAUCCACAGAAAACAGCUUUUCUCAAGGAUCGACUGAAUAUAAUACAGGAGGAGCAUUCCAAGGAUCUGAAGCUGUUGCAUCUGGAAGUUAAGAAUUUGCGCCAACAACUGAGAGAUGUAAAAAAGGAAGAAGACAAGGCACAAGAUGAAGUGCAGAGGUUGACUGCCACUCUGGAGAUUGCCUCAGAAACAAAGAAGAAUGCAGCCAUUAUUGAAGAGGAAUUUAAGACCACAAAACGUAAAAUGAAUGUUAAAAUUCAGGAGCUAAGGCGACAACUGGCUCAGGAGAGGCACCUCAGGGAAUCUCUUGAGAAAUCUGGAUCAGCCAUGCUACUCAAAAUACGAGAAAUGGAAUCAACAGUGGAGGUGGAACGGAAACAGGUGCACAUUUUGCAGGAAAACAGCAUUGCCCUACGCAGUUCUAUACAGAACACCCAGGAUCUACUGGUCCAGGAACAACAAAAAAAAGGAGAGUUGGAGACUGCUACCUCACAGCUCCAGUCUGAUCUAAUUUCUAGAGAUGACAUCAUUUCCAAGUUGGUUGAAGAAAACAAGAAUGUUCAAAUGUCUUUCAACAAGGAACAGGAAGAAAAUGCAUAUUUGAGGUCUGAAAUAGUAUCUCUUCAUGAAGCAUCAGAAAAAACACAGGUUUUGAAUGAACAGCUGACUGUAAAGUGCUCAGAGCUGAGCUGCAUGCUUCAGACUGUUAAUAUGGAAAAAGCCAGGAUCAUUGCUGACCAUCAAGCCAUCCUGCAGGUAGAACAGAAAAUGAUGACGCAGACAUUUCAAGAACAAAACUUACUGCUGGAUGCAGCCCAUGCCAGUAUCAUAAGUGAACUACAGACCGUUCAGAAUGAGAAAAUCGAACUCCAAGCACAUCUGGAUCAUUUAAUCCUUGAGCAUAACCGGUGUAUUCAGAAAGCACAGGAUGCUGAGAAGAGAACAGCUGUGCAAAAAAAGCUACUAGAAUUGACUAUUGCAAGAUUGCAAGGUGAAUUGAAAGCAUCAAUGCAAGAGAACAAGUCUCUGCUAGAGGAAAAAGAAAGAUUUCAGAGAGAGGUUAAUGAAACAGAAAAAGGAAUAGCACAAGAAAAAUGCAAUUUGGAAAAGGAAUUAGCUCAAAACAAGGUAGACAUAAAUGCAUUGAAGCAAAACCUACAGACUCUAGAAGAAGAAAAUAAGCACCUGGCAAAUGAAAUGGCUUCCCUAGAACUUCCGCAAGUUGCUUCUGAUUACCAUGGGCUUGCCAGACAGAAGGUGGAAAAAGUCUUGGGAAAAAUUACUGAGAGUAAAAAUAAAUUAGCCUAUGAAAAGGGAAAACUCCAGAUAAAAGUUAAACAGCUAGAAGAACAACUACAAUCUUUCACUGAAACCAGUUCACAGAAUGACCAUCUACGCAAGUUGAAUAAGGCUCUAGAAGCCAAAUAUGCUCAGGUGAAAUCCAUUUUUGAAAAAAGUGAAGAGGAGCUGUCUCGAACAGUGAAGAGUCGUGAUGCAGCCCUGAAAGAGAGUCAGAAGUUGAGAGAGGACCUCGAGGCUUUAGAGGACAGGGAAAACAAGAAGGUGGGAAACUUUCAGCGACAAUUGGCAGAGGCUAAAGAAGACAACUGCAAAGUGACAAUCAUGUUGGAGAAUGUGCUGGCUUCUCACAGUAAGAUGCAAGGUGCUCUGGAGAAAGUACAAGUAGAGCUUGGGCAGAGGGAUUCAGAGAUUGCAGGCCUCAAGAAGGAAAGGGCUCUCAACCAACAGAGGGUGCAGAAGCUAGAAGCCGAAGUGGACCAGUGGCAGGCCAGAAUGCUUGUUGUAGAUUCCCAGCACAAUAGUGAGAUGGAGCCUCUACAGAAAGCUCUAGAUACAGCUAGAGAAGACAACAGAAAAUUGGCUAUGAGUCUAGAUCAAGCCCUCCAGACAAAUAAUCAUCUGCAAACAAAGCUAGAUCACAUUCAAGAGAAAUUGGAAAGCAAAGAGCUUGAGCGACAGAAUUUGCAAACCUUCAAAGAGCGAAUGACUGAGGAAUCCAAAGUGGAAGCAGAAUUACAUGCUGAACGCUUAGAAGCUCUAAGAAAGCAGUUUCAGACUGAGAGAGAAACUGCAAAGAAAGCAGCACAACGGGAAAUGACUGAGCUGAAGAAAGCCCUUGAUGAAGCCAACUUCAGAUCAGUGGAAGUGUCCCGGACCAACCGAGAGCUGCGGCAGAAACUUACAGAGCUUGAAAAAACGCUGAACAGUAACAAGGAGAAAAUAAAGAAUCAAAAGGCCCAAAUUAAGCUCCACUUGUCGGCUAAGGCGAAUAAUGCUCAGAAUGUAGAGAGGAUGAAGCAAAUAGAGACAGAAUUGAGGCAAAUGGAGCUAAUUAAGGAUCAAUAUCAGAAAAAAAACUAUGAACAGUCAUUGAGUAUCCAGAGGUUUGUAUGUGAAAUGACUAACCUGCAGAAAGAGAUGCAGAUGUUGGCCAGGCGCCAAUAUGAUACUUCAGCACGGAAUAAACAGCAAGAGCUGCGGCUAGAGGCAGAGCGUAGAGUAAGGCAGGAACUAGAGAGUCGAUGCCAGAAAUUAGAAGAAACUGUCAGACACCUGAAGAAAUGUAAAGAGGCAACAGAGCAUAAACUGAAAGAAGCCAGUGAAGAAUCAGAGCAGAUAACAGCUAACCUGGAAGAAGCUCACCGUUGGUUUAAGUGCAGGUUCGAUGGCCUACAACUUGAGCUGACAAAAAACCGACUGCAAAGGCUUCCCCAGGAAGAUGGGUGGCAGGAAGAGAAUUAACAAGAAGAAUCUCAGGAGUUUCUUUUGCCUCUUGAGUUGCCUGAAGAUGGCCCGCAGAUGCCAGCACUUUUGACUCUUCUCCGUUUCCACUUGCUGCAUAAACAAAUAUGGUUUACCAAAGAGACCCUCUAGAAAAAGUGGGGAUGGGAAGAGAAAAGAAGAAAUUAAGGAGAGGGGGAGAACAAACCUGUCCUGUCAUUUAACUACUGAAAUACUAAGAAUAUUUUAGGCUUUUAUAAUCUGGAGAUAUAGAGUCAACGUGAAUUGGUCUUCACUCAUCCCAAAACUGGCUUUAAUCUGCGACUUAAAGAAUGGGAUAACUGGUAGUUGGCCUCAUAGCUGUGAAGUUCUCCACAGAAACGUUCUAUUUCAAAUCUAAAAUUUGCAGUGAAGGAGGGAGGAAAUUCUUGAUGGGCCCCGCUUCAUUCAGGAGCAGACUCCCUGCUGAAUCAACUGAACAGUAGAAGCGAAUCUCAUUGCAUAAAAUUGCUAUCAGGAUCCCAUGACAGAAGGAACUCUCAACUAAGUUUGAUCCAAGACCAGAUAGAACCCGAAUCUCCAUAUUAAUCUUCUUCACUUGGUCACUGUUUUCUGACAGUAACUCUUAAGGAACAGCUUAGAACCAACAAAGAUCUCUGUGGAAAACUGAAGGUAGUCGAUGAGUUCCGGGCUGAACCCCGACAUGUCUGCAAGGUCAGUCUGUUAAGACACCGAACCGGAAGAGCAGCAGCUCCCAGACUCUACCUCACGCCGGGCCGCAGCGAGCAGGGACC